AACGAACGCUGGCGGCAUGCCUAACACAUGCAAGUCGAACGAGACCUUCGGGUCUAGUGGCGCACGGGUGCGUACCGCGUGGGAACCUGCCCUUAGGUUCGGAAUAACUCCCCGAAAGGGGUGCUAAUACCGGAUAAUGUCUUCGGACCAAAGAUUUAUCGCCUUUGGAUGGGCCCGCGUUGGAUUCGCUAGUUGGUAGGGUAAAAGCCUACCAAGGCGACGAUCCAUAGCUGGUCUGAGAGGAUGAUCAGCCACACUGGGACUGAGACACGGCCCAGACUCCUACGGGAGGCAGCAGUGGGGAAUAUUGGACAAUGGGCGAAAGCCUGAUCCAGCAAUGCCGCGUGAGUGAUGAAGGCCGUAGGGUUGUAAAGCUCUUUUACCCGGGAUGAUAAUGACAGUACCGGGAGAAUAAGCUCCGGCUAACUCCGUG
Molecule: ribosomal RNA, 433 nt
Filed under: uncultured bacterium
Lineage: Bacteria
Description: partial 16S ribosomal RNA
Rfam family: Bacterial small subunit ribosomal RNA
Source: RNAcentral